RNAcentral lists this long non-coding RNA (680 nucleotides) under Homo sapiens (human). Its description in RNAcentral is "non-protein coding LINC00982:2". Lineage: Eukaryota; Metazoa; Chordata; Mammalia; Primates; Hominidae. The record is from RNAcentral.
UAUCUGGGAAUCGAGAAUGAAUUGGAAGGAAACCGAGGCGCUGCCCUGGCCAGGUUGCUGCCCCGCACCCUUCCGGAGCACCGAAGUCCUGCCCGGCAACGGGACUUGGAGCUGCCGCAGAGUCAGCCUGAGCCCGAGGCAGGGGUCGCGCCCGCGAUGCGGGGUCUCUGCGCCGCCCCGCGAGGCUCCUGGCCUUGCCCUCCCUGCCCUUUGUUGUGUAAUAAGACCUGUGGCGGCUCCACUGAGACCCACACGUGCAACUCCGCGCCUCCGCGUUAAAGGAGGUGAAACGCAGCAGCCCUGAGAAACCCCGAGACCCCGGUGUCCUAGCAGAGGCGCCCCGGAUGGGGAGGGGCGCGGGGCCGGCGCCACCCCAGAGGAAAAGCCCAGCGGAGCCGGGUUGGGCAGGAGCUGGCGGCGGCGGUGCGCUGGGCCUUCUGCCUUGGAUCCUCCGCGGUCGGCACCGCUUCCCUGCUCAGAUUCGAACCCAGAUUCGGCUCCCAAGGCUCCCACGGCUCCAGGGUGCCCAGUCUUGCAGCCAGCUCGCCGCCCGAGCCCCGGAUGGAGGAAGCGCUCACUGGCCGCUACCUCUGCUGUUUCUGGCACCAGAUGGGCAGCUUCCGGGGACCGGCUUGCACGAUGCCGUGGCCACCCCAGUGGAGACCCUCUGCCCGGCUUUG